UACGAAGGGGGCUAGCGUUGUUCGGAAUUACUGGGCGUAAAGCGCACGUAGGCGGAUUGCCAAGUCAGGGGUGAAAUCCCGGGGCUCAACCUCGGAACUGCCUUUGAUACUGUCAGUCUAGAGUCCGGAAGAGGUGGGUGGAAUUCCUAGUGUAGAGGUGAAAUUCGCAGAUAUUAGGAAGAACACCGGUGGCGAAGGCGGCCCACUGGUCCGGAACUGACGCUGAGGUGCGAAAGCGUGGGGAGCAAACAGGAUUAGAAACCCCAGUAGUCC
This 273-nucleotide ribosomal RNA is filed under the name uncultured prokaryote. RNAcentral's name for it is "partial 16S ribosomal RNA". It matches the Rfam family "Bacterial small subunit ribosomal RNA", at positions 524 to 796 of the family's 1533-position model. The record is from RNAcentral.